Molecule: ribosomal RNA, 509 nt
Filed under: uncultured bacterium
Lineage: Bacteria
Description: bacterial SSU rRNA
Rfam family: Bacterial small subunit ribosomal RNA
Source: RNAcentral
GCUGGCGGCGUGCCUAAUACAUGCAAGUCGAACGCACUCUCGUUUAGAUUGAAGGAGUUUGCUCCUGAUUGAUAAACAUUUGAGUGAGUGGCGGACGGUGAGUAACACGUGGUAACCUGCCUAAAGUGGGGAUAACAUUUGGAAACAGAUGCUAAUACCGCAUAAAACCUAUCACCGCAUGGUGUAGGGUUGAAAGAUGGUUUCGGCUAUCACUUUAGGAUGGACCCCGCGGUGCAUUAGUUAGUUGGUGAGGUAAAGGCUCACCAAGACCGUGAUGCAUAGCCGACCUGAGAGGUAAUCGGCCACACUGGGACUGAGACACGGCCCAGACUCCUACGGGAGGCAGCAGUAGGGAAUCUUCCACAAUGGACGAAAGUCUGAUGGAGCAACGCCGCGUGAGUGAAGGAGGUUUUCGGAUCGUAAAACUCUGUUGUUGGAGAAGAAUGUAUCUGAUAGUAACUGAUCAGGUAGUGACGGUAUCCAACCAGAAAGCCACGGCUAACUACGUG